RNAcentral lists this unclassified non-coding RNA (231 nucleotides) under Hevea brasiliensis (rubber tree). The record is from RNAcentral. Lineage: Eukaryota; Viridiplantae; Streptophyta; Magnoliopsida; Malpighiales; Euphorbiaceae.
ACACAAGUAGCAUGCAGCCUAGAAGAAGGUACAUACAGAGGACAUUGCUCGUGACACUACAGAAGCAAAUACGGCUGGAUAUCUGGAAAUGCAAAAAAGGGAUGCACAAAGCAAUGAAAAAUUACCAGUAACUUUCCUUUGCGUUAAGCAACUUGCUCCUAUAAAGCCACCAAUUCACCAUUAUCUAACACCCUCCAUCAAACCCUCCAACUCUCUACGACCAAACCUCUG